UUACCGUCUAACUUUCUUCUUUCUAGGUGUAAAAUCCAAGUCCGAUAUAUCAGAAUCACUUUCCGAUAACAGAUCAAGGAGAUUUAUGGUUUCUUUGUUGUUCGAAUUCUUCAUUGUGAUCGGAGAAUCAUAGCACGGGUCAUGAAGUUAACAGACGGACGCGAAAUCGUAUUGACGGCCAGUUCGAUAACAUAACCUCUCUAAUUGAGAUAUUAGUCAUCAAGGAACCUACUUUAGCUAGUGUGAUCUUGAUUUUAUCCCUCCUGGGUAGUCCAUGAAGAGGAUGAGCAGUAGAAAGUACAGUUGACGCGUUAUUCGAAAGAGACACCUGCACGAGGCUGGAGACUCGCCAAAUAACUGAUAGCGUGGGCGUCGCGACUUCGAAGACGACGUCGAACGACCAAAGUCGAGAGGGGGUGAAGCUUCCCCGUUCUUCUUGUUCCAUUGGUCAGGAACCGAUUGUGCGAUUCGUGUCUUCCUCCUCUCCGUCUUCUGUUCUUACCGAUCGUCCCUAUCGCUGGAGGCAAACUGCGAAUUGUUGCACCGAUAGAGUCGUCAUCAGUUGCUCUGAUUUGGAGAGGAAGAUUCAUGAUACCAAGAUGAUGGACACCUAUGAUGAGAUUUAAGAUUCACUUGUGAUAGAUAAACUAUCAAUGCACUCAAGGAAAAUGAAUGGCCACUGAAAUCGAAGUUCCGCGUGACCAACCGGAAGUGUGCCCGAAAAGCGAGCGUAAGGUGCCUUUAAGAAGGAUAAAAAUGUCCUCAGAAGAACUAUAAAAAGCGUUCCACGGGUUAGCAGGCUCAAUCACGAGCGGAGUAUCCCUCGGACCUCUCCGUGACUUCCGGUUCUUGGUAGCGGGCGACGACGCGCGUGUGCCAGCGCGGUGACCGGAUAUGGCGAAGAACCGACUGACCAAAUCGUUCGACGGAGAGCCGCCGCUUCGCGUAUCGAGCUUUUCAUGCGAAUCACGCGUUCUCCUGUACCAAAUACCAAGCUCGUAUCGGUGACAUCAUACUCCGCGUUGUAUACUUGUGCCAACGUGCACAGGUGAACGCGUGCUAGAGUAUACAAUUGGAUGGAACGAUGUCGUCGUUUUCAAUCACGAAUCUCAGUCCUUUCUUUGCAGUUGCUUCACUUUAAUCGUUUAACUUGUUAACUGGACGAUGACUGAAAAAUCAUAAUUAGAAUUGACUAAUUCUGAUAAUCAUGGAAUUAAUAGUUAACAAAAAGUGUCAAUUUUAAUUUAAUGUAGAUACGAUAUAACGUCGAGUGCAACUUCAAAAGAGUAUUGAUAAUCAGUAUUUGAGAUUUUUAUGCUGUUCUUUUAUUUCUUCAUACUAUGUAUUAUUACGUUACAUUAGUUACAUAUUCUGUUUUCUAUCUUAUUUUGUCAUUCUUUUCUGAUUGUUCAAAUUCCAUCAGAAACCAUCCUAGUUGAAUUAAUCCCUUAUGGAUUCAAACGAAACAAUCUUUUCUCCAUCUAUAUAUCAAACCUGAAAUCCUACUAAAUAGAUAAUGACAAGAAAAAUUAAGUAAGAAACGAGGGAGUUAACGAGAAAGUUCUAUCAAUAAUAUAUAUCUCGUUUGUAAAAUGAAAAUUUCAAUUGGAGAAAACAUUAAACGAAAAUCACGAAAACAUAAGCAAGCACUUACUAUAAAGAAACCAA
RNAcentral lists this unclassified non-coding RNA (1668 nucleotides) under Bombus terrestris (buff-tailed bumblebee). RNAcentral describes it as "misc RNA ENSBTSG00005033758.1". The record is from RNAcentral. Lineage: Eukaryota; Metazoa; Arthropoda; Insecta; Hymenoptera; Apidae.